Long non-coding RNA from Hemiscyllium ocellatum (epaulette shark), 5931 nucleotides. RefSeq lists it as uncharacterized. The record is from RefSeq and is a predicted model, not a curated record. NCBI's taxonomy places the organism in Eukaryota, Metazoa, Chordata, Chondrichthyes, Orectolobiformes, Hemiscylliidae. The transcript has 2 exons.
AGGUGAGUGUGCGUGUGUGUGUAGGUUUUGGGGGUGGGGUACUGUUUGAUCAGGGUGUGGCUGUCCCUGGUGGAAGGUGUGUGUGUGUGUGUGUGCAGGUUUGAUCAGGGUGUUACUGUCCAUGGUGGAAGGUGAGUGUGAGUGUGUGUGUGUGUAGGUUUGUGGGCGUGGGUACUGUUUGAUCAGGGUGUUGCUGUCCAUGGUGGACGGUGGGUGUAUGUGUGUGUGUGCAGGUUUGAUCAGGGUGUUGCUGUCCAUGGUGGAAGGUGUGUGUGUAGCUUUGGGGGUGGGGUACUGUUUGAUCAGGUUGUGGUUGUCCCUGGUGGACGGUGAGUGUGUGUGUGUGCAGGUUUGAUCAGGGUAUUGCUGUCCAUGGUGGAAGGUGAGUGUGUGUGUGUGUGUUGGUUUUGGGGGUGGGGUACUGUUUGAUCAGGGUGUUGCUGUCACUGGUGGAAGGUGUGUGUGUGAGUGAGUGUGUGUAGGUUUGUGGGCGGGGGGUAAUGUUUGAUCAGGGUGUUGCUGUCCAUGGUGGACGGUGAGUGGGUGUGUGCAGGUUUGAACAGGGUGUUACUGUCCAUGGUGGAAGGUGAGUGUGUGUAGGUUUGUGGGGGUGGGGUACUGUUUGAUCAGGGUGUGGCUGUCCCUGGUGGAAGGUGAGUGUGUGUGUAGCUUUGGGGGUGGGGUACUGUUUGAUCAGGGUGUGGCUGUCCCUGGUGGACGGUGGGUGUGUGUGUGUGUGUGUGCAAGUUUGAUCAGGGUGUUACUGUCCAUAGUGGAAGGUGUGUUUGUGUGUGUGUGUGUAGGUUUGGGGGUGGGGGUAAUGUUUGAUCAGGGUGUUACUAUCCAUAGUGGAAGGUGUGUUUGUGUGUGAGAGUGUGUGUGUGUGUAGGUUUGGGGGUGGGGGUACUGUUUGAUCAGGGUGUUACUAUCCAUAGUGGAAGGUGUGUUUGUGUGUGAGAGUGUGUGUGUAGGUUUGGGGGUGGGGGUAAUGUUUGAUCAGGGUGUUUCUGUCCCUGGUGGAAGGUGUGUAGGUUUGGGGGUGGGGAUAAUGUUUGAUCAGGGUGUUGCUGUCCAUGGUGGAAGGUGAGUGUGUGAGUGUGUGUGUAGGUUUGUGCCCGUGGGCACUGUUUGAACAGGGUGUUACUGUCCAUGGUGGAAGGUGAAUGUGUGUGUGUGUGUGUGUGUGCGUGCGCGCAGGUUUGGGGGUGGGGUACUGUUUGAUCAGAGUGUUACUAUCCGUGGUGGAGGUGUGUGUCUGUGUAGGUUUGGGGGCAUGGGUACUGUUUUGAUCAGGGUGUUGCUGUCCCUAGUGGAAGGUGAGUGUGUGUGUGUGUGUGUGUGUGUGUAGGUUUGGGGGUGGGGUACUGUUUGAUCAGGGUGUUACUGUCCCUGGUGGACGGUGAGUGUGUGUGUGCGCAGGUUUGAUCAGGGUGUUACUGUCCCUGGUGGAAGGUGAGUGUGUGUGUGUGUAGGUUUGGGGGUGGGGUACUGUUUGAUCAGGGUGUUACUGUCCCUGGUGGACGGUGAGUGUGUGUGUGCGCAGGUUUGAUCAGGGUGUUACUGUCCCUGGUGGAAGGUGAGUGUGUGUGUGUGUGUGUGUGUGUGUGUGUGUAGGUUUGUGGGUGUGGGUACUGUUUGAUCAGGGUGUUACUAUCCGUGGUGGAGGUGUGUGUCUGUGUAGGUUUGGGGGCAUGGGUACUGUUUUGAUCAGGGUGUUGCUGUCCCUAGUGGAAGGUGAGUGUGUGUGUGUGUGUGUGUGUAGGUUUGGGGGUGGGGUACUGUUUGAUCAGGAUGUUACUGUCCCUGGUGGACGGUGAGUGUGUGUGUGCGCAGGUUUGAUCAGGGUGUUACUGUCCCUGGUGGAAGGUGAGUGUGUGUAGGUUUGUGGGUGUGGGUACUGUUUGAUCAGGGUGUUACUAUCCAUAGUGGAAGGUGUGUUUGUGUGUGAGUGUGUGUGUGAAGGUUUGGGGGUGGGGGUAAUGUUUGAUCAGGGUGUUACUAUCCAUAGUGGAAGGUGUGUUUGUGUGUGAGAGUGUGUGUGUAGGUUUGGGGGUGGGGGUAAUGUUUGAUCAGGGUGUUUCUGUCCCUGGUGGAAGGUGUGUAGGUUUGGGGUUGGGGAUAAUGUUUGAUCAGGGUGUUGCUGUCCAUGGUGGAAGGUGAGUGUGUGUGUGUGUAGGUUUGGGGGCGUGGGUACUGUUUGAUCAGGGUGUUACUGUCCCUGGUGGAAGGUGUGUGUGUGUGUGUGUGUGUGUAGGUUUGGGUGCGUGGGUACUGUUUGAUCAGGGUGUUACUGUCCCUGGUGGAAGGCGAGUGUGUGUGUAUGUGUGUGUGCAGGUUUGAUCAGGGUGUUACUGUCCCUGGUGGAAGGCGAGUGUGUGUGUGUGUGUGUGUGUGCAGGUUUGGGGGUGGGGUACUGUUUGAUCAGGGUGUUACUGUCCAUGGUGGAAGGUGAGUGUGUAGGUUUGGGGGUGGGGUACUGUUUGAUCAGGGUGUUGCUGUCCCUGGUGGAAGGUGUGAGAGUGUGUGUGUGUAGGUUUGAGAGUGUGGGUACUGUUUGAUCAGGGUGUUUCUGUCCCUGGUGGAAGGUGUGUAGGUUUGGGGGUGGGGAUAAUGUUUGGUCAGGGUGUUGCUGUCCAUGGUGGAAGGUGAGUGUGUGUGUGUGUGUGUGUAGCUUUGGGGGUGGGGUACUGUUUGAUCAGGGUGUGGCUGUCCCUGGUGGACGGUGAGUGUGUGUGUGUGCAGGUUUGAUCAGGGUGUUACUGUCCAUGGUGGAAGGUGAGUGUGUGUGUGUGUGUGUAGGUUUGUGGCCGUGGGCACUGUUUGAACAGGGUGUUACUGUCCAUGGUGGAAGGUGUGUGUGUGUGUGUGUGUAUGUAGGUUUGUGGGUGUGGGUACUGUUUGAUCAGGGUGUUACUAUCCAUAGUGGAAGGUGUGUUUGUGUGUGUGAGUGUGUGUGUGAAGGUUUGGGGGUGGGGUAAUGUUUGAUCAGGGUGUUACUAUCCAUAGUGGAAGGUGUGUAGGUUUGGGGGUGGGGAUAAUGUUUGAUCAGGGUGUUGCUGUCCAUGGUGGAAGGUGAGUGUGUGUGUGUGUGUGUGUGUGUGUGUGUGUGUGUUGUGUGUGUGUGUAGGUUUGGGGGCGUGGGUACUGUUUGAUCAGUGUGUUACUGUCCCUGGUGGAAGGUGAGUGUGUGUGUGUGUGUGCAGGUUUGAUCAGGGUGUUGCUGUCCAUGGUGGAAGGUGAGUGUGUGUGUGUGUGUGUGUGUAGGUUUGGGGGCGUGGGUACUGUUUGAUCAGGGUGUUACUGUCCCUGGUGGAAGGCGAGUGUGUGUGUGUGUGCAGGUUUGGGGGUGGGGUACUGUUUGAUCAGGGUGUUACUGUCCAUGGUGGAGGUGUGUGUCUGUGUAGGUUUGGGAGUGGGGGUAAUGUUUGAUCAGGGUGUUGCUGUCCAUGGUGGAAGGUGUGUGUGUGUGUGUGUGUGUGUAUGUGUAGGUUUGUGAGUGUGGGUACUGUUUGAUCAGGGUGUUUCUGUCCCUGGUGGAAGGUGUGUAGGUUUGGGGGUGGGGAUAAUGUUUGAUCAGGGUGUUGCUGUCCAUGGUGGAAGGUGAGUGUGUGUGUGUGUGUGUAGCUUUGGGGGUGGGGUACUGUUUGAUCAGGGUGUGGCUGUCCCUGGUGGACGGUGAGUGUGUGUGUGUGCAGGUUUGAUCAGGGUGUUACUGUCCAUGGUGGAAGGUGAGUGUGUGUGUGUGUGUGUGUGCGCAGGUUUGAUCAGGGUGUUGCUGUCCAUGAUGGAAGGUGAGUGUGUGUGUGUGUGUGUGUAGAUUUGGGGGUGGGGUACUGUUUGAUCAAGGUGUUGCUGUCCCUGGUAGAAGGUGAGUGUGUGUGUGUGUGUGUGUGUGUGUUUGCAGGUUUGAUCAGGGUGUUACUGUCCAUGGUGAAAGGUGAGUGCGUGUAGGUUUGGGGGUGGGUACUGUUUGAUCAGGGUGUUGCUGUCCCUGGUGGAAGGUGUGUGAGUGUGUGUGUAGGUUUGUGGGUGUGGGUACUGUUUGAUCAGGGUGUUGCUGUCCCUAGUGGAAGGUGAGUGUGUGUGUGUGUGUGUGCGCGCGCCCAGGUUUGAUCAGGGUGUGGCUGUCCCUGGUGGAACGUGUGUGUGUGUGUGCAGGUAUGAUCAGGGUGUUACUGUCCAUGGUGGAAGGUGUGUGUGUGUGUAGGUUUGGGGGUGGGGUACUGUUUGAUCAGGGUGUUGCUGUCCCUGGUGGAAGGUGAGUGUGUGUGUGUGUGUAGGUUUGAUCAGGGUGUGGCUGUCCCUGGGGAUGGUGAGACUGUGUGUGUGUGUAGGUUUGGGGGUGGGGGUAAUGUUUGAGCAGGGUGUUGCUGUCCCUGGUGUAAGGUGAGUGUGUGUGUGUGUAGGUUUGAUCAGGGUGUGGCUGUCCCUGGGGAUGGUGAGACUGUGUGUGUGUGUAGGUUUGGGGACAAGGGUACUGUUUGAUCAGGGUGUUGCUGUCCCUGGUGGAAGGUGUGUGAGUGUGUGUGGGUUUGUGGGCGGGGGUACUGUUUGAUCAGGGUGUUACUGUCCCUGGUGGAAUGUGUGUGUGUGUGUGUAGGUUCGAUCAGGGUGUUACUGUCCAUCGUGGAAGGUGAGUGUGUGAAGGUGUGUGUGUGUGCAUGCGCAGGUUCGAUCAGGGUGUUACUGUCCCUGGUGGAAGGUGUGUGUGUGCGUGCGCAGGUUCGAUCAGGGUGUUACUGUCCAUGGUGGAAGGUGAGUGUGUGAAGGUGUGUGUGGGAGAGAUGUGAUUGUAUGGUUGGGCUUUGACACAGUGAGUGUUGUCAGUUGACAGAUCUUUCCCCAAGCAGCUAUAUUGCACAGGUCUUGGCUGUCUGAGGGAGGUAACUGGAGUAUCCCAGUGAAAGCCCAGGAGCAGAGAGCGGGCUACAGCUUUGAUUGUCUCUGCACCUUGCCCAGUGAGGGGAAAUGUAGGGAGUGUUUGGGCUUUUUUAAAAAAUAAAAACGAGGCCUCUCCUUUGAAAGCCUGUGGUCUAUCCUCGCAGUUUGUUGGGCAUGACCCUGGUACAUACUGCUGCUGACAAGCUGCAGUUCCAGCCACACAUUCUGUAUUCAGCUCAGAUCUGGUAUUUAAUAUGUGCGGCUCUCUGUUCCUAAGGGGGUGGGAUAGGGGUGGUAUACUCGAUGGGGAGGUGACCUACCCCAGGCUCAAUCCAAUCCCAAACCCCCGGCCACCAAAAACACAUGGCUAAUGCCACCCGAACACUGACCUCUCCGGUGUUCGCUACCAUCUUCGGCUGUAGACCUUUGUUAGUACCUUGUGCAGAAGGCUCUUGUUGGAAUGAUUGUCCUGUUCGGGGGAGUCUUGGUUACAGGGAUUUCCUCUUGAAGUCUCUAGUUUGCCCCAUCAGGCACUGACACUGAUGAUGUUGAGGGGGGAGGGGAGAGAGUGGUGGAUACAGCCGGCCUUCCACCUUUAGCCCCAGAGGCAUUUUGACCUCUGGCUGGCUGGUUUGUGGAAACACGUCCUGGCCUCUUCCCCCAGCCUUGCCCAUGGCCAUGGACCAUUGCCUGACCAGAGGAGCAGAGGCCAAGAUAACCAGCCCUGAUCACUGCACGCCUUCCUUAAUGGCUGCAAAGCACUGAGGUUCCAAGUGAAAUCCGCAGAGGUCCCCAAACCAGCCAGGUUCAUGUGUCAUUCCCUUUCAUACAUCCCUCCAGCUGUGCUGAAAGUGUAGUGAUGGAACUAUUGGAAAGAAUGUGCAUCAUGGAAAAAGCAGACUGCAUACGGUUGAAGAAUGUAUUGUCAUGAGAUUUGUAGCUAUUACUGAUUUAAGGUCCUUUUUUUGUAUAACUUUUUUAAAAGAUUAUUUUUUUGUUAACAUUACUGUUACAAGUUUUAAAAAGAAAUUACAACAAAUUUACAUUUUA